GUGCAGAUGGCCGAGCUGGUCUAUGGCGCCAGAUUAAGGUUCUGGUCCGAAAGGGAGUGGGUUCAAAUCCUGCUCUCCACA
Molecule: non-coding RNA, 81 nt
Organism: Turnera subulata
Lineage: Eukaryota; Viridiplantae; Streptophyta; Magnoliopsida; Malpighiales; Passifloraceae
Source: the annotation of a GenBank genome assembly